CAGCAGCCGCGGUAAUACGUAGGGUGCGAGCGUUAAUCGGAAUUACUGGGCGUAAAGCGUGCGCAGGCGGUUCGUUAAGACAGAUGUGAAAUCCCCGGGCUUAACCUGGGAACUGCAUUUGUGACUGGCGAGCUAGAGUAUGGCAGAGGGGGGUAGAAUUCCACGUGUAGCAGUGAAAUGCGUAGAGAUGUGGAGGAAUACCGAUGGCGAAGGCAGCCCCCUGGGCCAAUACUGACGCUCAUGCACGAAAGCGUGGGGAGCAAACAGGAUUAGAUACCCGUGUAGUCCCUGUCUCUUAUUC
Molecule: ribosomal RNA, 301 nt
Filed under: uncultured bacterium
Lineage: Bacteria
Description: partial 16S ribosomal RNA
Rfam family: Bacterial small subunit ribosomal RNA
Source: RNAcentral